RNAcentral lists this ribosomal RNA (499 nucleotides) under uncultured bacterium. RNAcentral's name for it is "bacterial SSU rRNA". It matches the Rfam family "Bacterial small subunit ribosomal RNA", at positions 18 to 509 of the family's 1533-position model. The record is from RNAcentral.
CAUGGCUCAGAUUGAACGCUGGCGGCAUGCCUAACACAUGCAAGUCGAACGGGAGUGAGGGGCAACCCUUGCUUCAGUGGCGGACGGGUGAGUAAUGCGUAGGAAUCUUCCCUAGAGCGGGGGACAACCCGGGGAAACUCGGGCUAAUACCGCAUAAUCUCUAAGGAGCAAAGAAGGGGACCCUUCGGGGCCUUUCACUUUAGGAUGAGCCUACGUCGGAUUAGCUAGUUGGUGAGGUAAAGGCUUACCAAGGUUACGAUCCGUAGCUGGUCUGAGAGGACGGCCAGCCACACUGGGACUGAGACACGGCCCAGACUCCUACGGGAGGCUGCAGUGGGGAAUAUUGGACAAUGGGGGAAACCCUGAUCCAGCAAUGCCGCGUGUGUGAAGAAGGCCUUCGGGUUGUAAAGCACUUUUAGUGGGGAAGAAAGGCUUAAGGGUUAAAUACCCUUGAGUGUUGAACGGUUUCCCACAAAAAAGCAACCGGCAAAAUUCUGUC